Molecule: long non-coding RNA, 212 nt
Filed under: Carica papaya (papaya)
Lineage: Eukaryota; Viridiplantae; Streptophyta; Magnoliopsida; Brassicales; Caricaceae
Description: long non-coding RNA (CPAP_LNC000207)
Source: RNAcentral
UGGUGAUGUAGUGUGAUAUCCUUACUGGGCUAGUGUAGCUCAUCCCUUAUCUAACCAUUUCAGAUCAAGAGGACCUGGUUCCAAAGCCCAAUCCCCAGGAAGAUUGCGAGUAGAUGCUAGAUACUUUCUAUUUUUCAUUACUUUUUGUAUUUCUCAUGUUCCUUCUAGAGAAUUCAUUCGCUAAUGUUUGUUUAGUACUUUUAAGUCAUUGU